This 415-nucleotide ribosomal RNA is filed under the name uncultured bacterium. RNAcentral's name for it is "bacterial SSU rRNA". It matches the Rfam family "Bacterial small subunit ribosomal RNA", at positions 505 to 916 of the family's 1533-position model. The record is from RNAcentral.
GUGCCAGCAGCCGCGGUAAUACGUAGGUGGCAAGCGUUGUCCGGAUUUAUUGGGCGUAAAGGGAGCGCAGGCGGUUAAAUAAGUCUGGGAUGUGAAAGCCCUCAGCUCAACUGAGGAAUUGCAACGGAAACUGUUUAACUUGAGUGCAGAAGAGGAGAGUGGAACUCCAUGUGUAGCGGUGAAAUGCGUAGAUAUAUGGAAGAACACCAGUGGCGAAGGCGGCUCUCUGGUCUGUUACUGACGCUGAGGCUCGAAAGCAUGGGUAGCGAACAGGAUUAGAUACCCUGGUAGUCCAUGCCGUAAACGAUGAGUGCUAAGUGUUGGGAGGUUUCCGCCUCUCAGUGCUGCAGCUAACGCAUUAAGCACUCCGCCUGGGGAGUACGACCGCAAGGUUGAAACUUAAAGAAAUUGACGG